This 418-nucleotide ribosomal RNA is filed under the name uncultured bacterium. RNAcentral describes it as "bacterial SSU rRNA". It matches the Rfam family "Bacterial small subunit ribosomal RNA", at positions 355 to 786 of the family's 1533-position model. The record is from RNAcentral.
UCGGGAAUAUUGCGCAAUGGAGGAAACUCUGACGCAGUGACGCCGCGUGCAGGAAGAAGGUUUUCGGAUUGUAAACUGCUUUUAGACAGGGAAAGAAAAAAUGACAGUACCUGUAGAAUAAGCUCCGGCUAACUACGUGCCAGCAGCCGCGGUAAUACGUAGGGAGCAAGCGUUAUCCGGAUUUAUUGGGUGUAAAGGGUGCGUAGACGGGAAGACAAGUUAGUUGUGAAAUCCCUCGGCUUAACUGAGGAACUGCAACUAAAACUAUCAUUCUUGAGUGCUGGAGAGGAAAGUGGAAUUCCUAGUGUAGCGGUGAAAUGCGUAGAUAUUAGGAGGAACACCAGUGGCGAAGGCGACUUUCUGGACAGUAACUGACGUUGAGGCACGAAAGUGUGGGGAGCAAACAGGAUUAGAUACC